Long non-coding RNA from Stegostoma tigrinum, 430 nucleotides. RefSeq lists it as uncharacterized. The transcript has 3 exons. The record is from RefSeq and is a predicted model, not a curated record. NCBI's taxonomy places the organism in Eukaryota, Metazoa, Chordata, Chondrichthyes, Orectolobiformes, Stegostomatidae.
GUUCAACUCGCCUUCGGUUCUGGCUUGAGGAGCCGGCGUAUUCUGAGAAACCAAACAAACCAUAUGCCGGAGACACUCAAUAGUCCAGGCAGCAUCCGUGAACGGAGAAACAGAUUACAAUUCAGGGCCAUUUCCUGAGUUAGCAUCCCUUACAUUGCUGCGGUUUGUAUCAGUAUGCCUCUUGUAUCAUCAUGUAAGUGAUAUCAUCCCAUCAUCAGUGAGACCCCUGAUUGUGCUAUUGGAGCUGACACCUUUGGUCUGUUCUCUGCAAUCAAAGGAAUGUAAUCCUGACUUAAAGUGAGGACACCCAGUAUAUGGAUCUGAAAAGGUUAAUACCGUGGAGUGCCAUAAGCUUCACCCACGGUGAUGAGGUCAAAUAGACUUAUGGGAAGCACAGCUCAGGAUCUUGAUGGAGUGAGGUCUACCAUCU